RNAcentral lists this ribosomal RNA (827 nucleotides) under uncultured bacterium. Its description in RNAcentral is "bacterial SSU rRNA". It matches the Rfam family "Bacterial small subunit ribosomal RNA", at positions 629 to 1457 of the family's 1533-position model. The record is from RNAcentral.
UGAACUGGGUGANUAGAGUGUGUCAGAGGGAGGUAGAAUUNCACGUGUAGCAGUGAAAUGCGUAGAGAUGUGGAGGAAUACCGAUGGCGAAGGCAGCCUCCUGGGAUAACACUGACGUUCAUGCCCGAAAGCGUGGGUAGCAAACAGGAUUAGAUACCCUGGUAGUCCACGCCCUAAACGAUGUCGAUUAGCUGUUGGGCAGCAUGACUGCUUGGUAGCGAAGCUAACGCGUGAAAUCGACCGCCUGGGGAGUACGGUCGCAAGAUUAAAACUCAAAGGAAUUGACGGGGACCCGCACAAGCGGUGGAUGAUGUGGAUUAAUUCGAUGCAACGCGAAGAACCUUACCUGGUCUUGACAUGUACGGAACCCUUCAGAGACGGAGGGGUGCCUUCGGGAGCCGUAACACAGGUGCUGCAUGGCUGUCGUCAGCUCGUGUCGUGAGAUGUUGGGUUAAGUCCCGCAACGAGCGCAACCCUUGUCAUUAGUUGCCAUCAUUAAGUUGGGCACUCUAAUGAGACUGCCGGUGACAAGCCGGAGGAAGGUGGGGAUGACGUCAAGUCCUCAUGGCCCUUAUGACCAGGGCUUCACACGUCAUACAAUGGUCGGUACAGAGGGUAGCCAAGCCGCGAGGUGGAGCCAAUCUCACAAAACCGAUCGUAGUCCGGAUUGCACUCUGCAACUCGAGUGCAUGAAGUCGGAAUCGCUAGUAAUCGCAGGUCAGCAUACUGCGGUGAAUACGUUCCCGGGUCUUGUACACACCGCCCGUCACACCAUGGGAGUGGGGGAUACCAGAAGUAGGUAGGGUAACCGCAAGGAGCCCGCUUAC